AGGGUGUCCGGCCCACUGGGACUGANAUACGGCCCAGACUCCUACGGGAGGCAGCANUGGGGAAUAUUGCACAAUGGGCGCAAGCCUGAUGCCCGACCCGCGUGGGGGAUGACGGCCUUCGGGUUGUAAACCUCUUUCAAUAGGGACGAAGCGCANNUGACGGUACCUAUNGAANAAGCACCGGCCAACUACNUGCCANCANCCGCGGUAAUACNUANGGUGCGANCGUUGUCCGGAAUUACUGGGCGUAAAGAGCUCGUAGGUGGUUUGUCNCGUUGUCCGUGAAAUUUCACAACUCAAUUGUGAGCGUGGGGCGAUACGGGCAGAC
Molecule: ribosomal RNA, 328 nt
Filed under: uncultured bacterium
Lineage: Bacteria
Description: partial 16S ribosomal RNA
Rfam family: Bacterial small subunit ribosomal RNA
Source: RNAcentral